RNAcentral lists this ribosomal RNA (253 nucleotides) under uncultured bacterium. RNAcentral describes it as "partial 16S ribosomal RNA". It matches the Rfam family "Bacterial small subunit ribosomal RNA", at positions 524 to 776 of the family's 1533-position model. The record is from RNAcentral.
UACGUAGGGUGCGAGCGUUGUCCGGAAUUAUUGGGCGUAAAGGGCUCGUAGGCGGUCUGUCGCGUCGGGAGUGAAAACUCAGGGCUUAACCCUGAGCCUGCUUCCGAUACGGGCAGACUAGAGGUAUGCAGGGGAGAACGGAAUUCCUGGUGUAGCGGUGAAAUGCGCAGAUAUCAGGAGGAACACCGAUGGCGAAGGCAGGUCUCUGGGCCACUACUGACGCUGAGAAGCGAAAGCAUGGGGAGCGAACAGG